CGUCCACCAUCGGGCCUUGACGGAUGAAGGUGACAGGGCACAAGCUAGGGUUAGAAGUGGUUGGGGGCUCGCGGUGGGGGACAUGGCAGCAACCUCGCUGCCACGGUGACGACGUACGGGCUGCUAUAGCUAGCGGCCGGCGGCGGAUGGAGCGUGUGAGAAGUUUAGAUUUGGGGAAUUUGGGAGCGGCCGGCGGCGGAGGGAGCGCGUGAGAG
This 215-nucleotide ribosomal RNA is filed under the name Triticum aestivum (bread wheat). RNAcentral describes it as "partial small subunit ribosomal RNA". Lineage: Eukaryota; Viridiplantae; Streptophyta; Magnoliopsida; Poales; Poaceae. The record is from RNAcentral.